CCUGGCUCAGGUUUAGCGCUGGCGGCACGCCUAACACAUGCAAGUCGAACGAGAGAUGAGGAGCUUGCUCUUCAAAUCGAGUGGCGAACGGUUGAGUAACGCGUGAGGAACCUGCCUCAAAGAGGGGGACAACUGUUGGAAACGACUGCUAAUACCGCUUAAGCCCACGGUUCGGCAUCGAGCAGAGGGAAAAGGAGCAAUCCGCUUUGAGAUGGCCUCGCGUCCGAUUAGCUAGUUGGUGAGGUAACGGCCCACCAAGGCGACGAUCGGUAGCCGGACUGAGAGGUUGAACGGCCACAUUGGGACUGAGACACGGCCCACACUCCUACGGGAGGCAGCAGUGGGGAAUAUUGCACAAUGGGGGAAACCCUGAUGCAGCGACGCCGCGUGGAGGAAGAAGGUCUUCGGAUUGUAAACUCCUGUUGUUGAGGAAGAUAAUGACGGUACUCAACAAGGAAGUGACGGCUAACUACGUGCCAGCAGCCGCGGUAAAACGUAGGUCACAAGCGUUGUCCGGAAUUACUGGGUGUAAAGGGAGCGCAGGCGGGAGAACAAGUUGGAAGUGAAAUCCAUGGGCUCAACCCAUGAACUGCUUUCAAAACUGUUUUUCUUGAGUAGUGCAGAGGUAGGCGGAAUUCCCGGUGUAGCGGUGGAAUGCGUAGAUAUCGGGAGGAACACCAGUGGCGAAGGCGGCCUACUGGGCACCAACUGACGCUGAGGCUCGAAAGUGUGGGUAGCAAACAGGAUUAGAUACCCUGGUAGUCCACACCGUAAACGAUGAUUACUAGGUGUUGGAGGAUUGACCCCUUCAGUGCCGCAGUUAACACAAUAAGUAAUCCACCUGGGGAGUACGACCGCAAGGUUGAAACUCAAAGGAAUUGACGGGGGCCCGCACAAGCAGUGGAGUAUGUGGUUUAAUUCGACGCAACGCGAAGAACCUUACCAAGUCUUGACAUCCCUUGACGAUGCUGGAAACAGUAUUUCUCUUCGGAGCAAGGAGACAGGUGGUGCAUGGUUGUCGUCAGCUCGUGUCGUGAGAUGUUGGGUUAAGUCCCGCAACGAGCGCAACCCUUAUGGUCAGUUACUACGCAAGAGGACUCUGGCCAGACUGCCGUUGACAAAACGGAGGAAGGUGGGGAUGACGUCAAAUCAUCAUGCCCUUUAUGACUUGGGCUACACACGUACUACAAUGGCGUUAAACAAAGAGAAGCAAGACCGCGAGGUGGAGCAAAACUCAGAAACAACGUCCCAGUUCGGACUGCAGGCUGCAACUCGCCUGCACGAAGUCGGAAUUGCUAGUAAUCGUGGAUCAGCAUGCCACGGUGAAUACGUUCCCGGGCCUUGUACACACCGCCC
RNAcentral lists this ribosomal RNA (1356 nucleotides) under uncultured bacterium. Its description in RNAcentral is "bacterial SSU rRNA". It matches the Rfam family "Bacterial small subunit ribosomal RNA", at positions 18 to 1395 of the family's 1533-position model. The record is from RNAcentral.